AACGAACGCUGGCGGCAUGCCUACACAUUCAAGUCGAACGAGACCUUCGGUUCUAGUGGCGCACGGGUGCGUAACGCGUGGGAACCUGCCCUUAGGUUCGGAAUAACUCCCCGUAAGGGUUGCUAAUACCGGAUAAUGUCUUCGGACCAAAGAUUUAUCGCCUUUGGAUGGGCCCGCGUUGGAUUAGCUAGUUGGUAGAGUAAAAGCCUACCAAGGCGACGAUCCAUAGCUGGUCUGAGAGGAUGAUCAGCCACACUGGGACUGAGACACGGCCCAGACUCCUACGGGGGGCAGCAGUGGGGAAUAUUGGAGGAUGAGCGAGAGCCUGGUACAGCAAUGCCGCGUGAGUGAUGAAGGCCUUAGGGUUGUAAAGCUCUUUUACACGGGGUGAUAAUGACAGUACCGGGAGAAUAAGCUCCGGCUAACUCCGUG
This 432-nucleotide ribosomal RNA is filed under the name uncultured bacterium. RNAcentral's name for it is "partial 16S ribosomal RNA". It matches the Rfam family "Bacterial small subunit ribosomal RNA", at positions 29 to 507 of the family's 1533-position model. The record is from RNAcentral.